Molecule: unclassified non-coding RNA, 1530 nt
Filed under: Hevea brasiliensis (rubber tree)
Lineage: Eukaryota; Viridiplantae; Streptophyta; Magnoliopsida; Malpighiales; Euphorbiaceae
Source: RNAcentral
AAACCUACUAGCUCAUUUUAGCCAGUUGAGUUGAACUAAUGUUUGUUGCUUAUAUUAAUAAGCUUAAAUUCCAACCUGACUGUUGGAAAAAUUAGAUGCCUGCAACUUCAACAAUGGAAAAAAUGGAAAGUGAGAAAGGACUUGGAGAUCAACCUGGGCCAAGAGACUCCUACAAGAUUGCUUAUAUAAUCCAUUUUUUGCUUGGUGCUGGUAAUUUGCUUCCCUGGAAUGCUUUUAUCACGGCUGUCGAUUACUUUGGAAAUCUCUACCCAACCAGGCACGUUGAGAAGGUCUUUUCUGUAGCUUAUAUGAGUUCUUCGGUUGUAGUUCUAAUUUUAGUCAUAAGUCGGGGUGGUUGGAGCAAGAAACUCACUUACAGGUUGAGAAUGAACUUGGGAUUUUCCAUGUUUGUUCUCUCUUCAAUGGUGCCUCCAACAAUAGAUUGGGUUGGGAGACCAAAGGGAGCCUACGGUGUGACAGUAGCAUCGGUGGUGGUUUGUGGUUUAGCUGAUGGUUUGAUAGGAGGAAGUCUAAUAGGAUCAGCAGGAAAGCUUCCCAAAGGGUACAUGCAAGCUGUUUUUGCCGGAACUGCCUCUUCAGGGGUUCUUGUCUCCAUCUUGAGGAUUAUAACAAAGGCAUCACUCCCGCAGACUCCCCAAGGUCUCAGAACAAGUGCUCACUUCUAUUUUAUAGUUAGCACAAUUAUUCUGAUGUGCUGCACACUCUGCUGCAAUUUCUUAUACAAGUUACCAGUUAUGGAACAGCAUUUCACGCUUCUUCCAAACGAUGAUUCAUUGACUUCAAGGCCAACAUUUUGGGCGGUUGCAAGAAAAAUCCGUUGGCCAGUUUUCGGGAUUCUCAUCAUUUAUGUUGUUACUCUUUCAAUUUUCCCUGGAUUCAUAGCUGAAAGUCUUGCAUCCAAGUUGCUAGAGGAUUGGUAUCCAGUUCUUCUGAUAACGGUGUAUAAUGUUUCAGAUUUCGUAGGGAAAUCCUUAACUGCGAUAUAUGUUCUGAAGAGCAUCAAGAAAGCAACAUGGGCUUGCAUUCUUAGGCUUUUGUUCUAUCCGCUCUUUGCAGCAUGCCUGAAUGGACCCAAAUGGCUGAGAACUGAAGUGCCAGUGAUGUCGCUAACCUUUUUGCUUGGAGCAAGUAAUGGCUAUCUGACAAGCGUCAUCAUGAUCCUUGCUCCUAAGUCAGUUCCAGUUUUUGAAGCUGAGUUAUCUGCAAUUGUUCUGGUUGUGUUCUUAGGACUUGGGUUGGUUGGUGGUUCAGUUCUUGGCUGGUUUUGGAUCGUAUGAUCCAUUUCUGUUCUGAGGUCACGCGGCUGGUUGAUCCUGAAACAGCUAGAAAUCCAUAAUUAGAAAUUCAAUAACGUUGUUAACUAGAGCCAGCCUACUCCUAGAAGUAUGGAUAAGUCAAUUUAAAAUUUGAAUUAUAUGAAAAUUAAGAGUAUCAACCUGCAUUCCUGCAAUUUCAUGGCCAGAUGAUUUUUCUAUCCUUUGUGGAAUCACCCUUUCUGCACUAAUAAAG